RNAcentral lists this ribosomal RNA (852 nucleotides) under Triticum aestivum (bread wheat). RNAcentral's name for it is "partial small subunit ribosomal RNA". The record is from RNAcentral. Lineage: Eukaryota; Viridiplantae; Streptophyta; Magnoliopsida; Poales; Poaceae.
AUGCAUUGGUAUUCUUGGUGGAAGCUAUGUUUCCCAAAGAGUGAAGGUGGGAUGGGAUUUCGAGAUCUAUAUUCGUUUAAUCUUGCUCUCUUAGCGAAACAAUGCUGGAGAUUGAUAACGAACCCGGACUCGCUUUGUGCUAGGAUUUUAAAGGCAAAGUAUUACCCAAAUUGUGAUAUUCUCCUAGCAGGGCCGAAAAAGGGAUCUUCCUUCACUUGGCAGAGUAUCAUUGCUGGGUUAGCUUGCUUUAAGCGUGGAUACAUAUGGAGAAUAGGAACGGGAGAAAAUGUUGACAUCUGGGCUGACCCGUGGAUACCUUCAAGCCCAAACAGGAUGAUUAUUACUCCGCGGAAUCAGUCUAUUUUAACAAAGGUUUCUGAACUAGUUAAUCCUAUUACCCAAACGUGGGAUGAGCAAUUACUUCAAGACCAUUUUAACCCUGUGGAUGUUCGAAGGAUCUUGCAAAUACCCUUACACCUUCAAGCAUUUGAUGAUCUUAUCGCCUGGCAUCCGAAUAAAAACGGAAUCUUUUCUGUGAAAACUGCAUAUCAUAUUGAGUGGAUACACAAAUAUGGGGGCCAUGCAACUUCCCGGGGUAGACCGGGAAGCUCUACGACUCCGGCAGUGUGGUCUAUGCUAUGGAAUCUUCAAGUCCCACGUAAAGUUCAAAUAUAUUGCUGGAGAAUUCUGCACGGAAUUGUACAAUUAAUGUCUGUACUCGCUAACAGACACAUCCCGGUGAGUGGAGAAUGCCCAAUUUGUCACGUUGGACCAGAGGAUGUGCGCCAUCUGCUUUUUGAAUGCAUUCCAGCGAGAGAAUUGUGGGAGAAAUUAGGCAUUUGGGACUCUAUC